RNAcentral lists this long non-coding RNA (300 nucleotides) under Musa acuminata (dwarf banana). Its description in RNAcentral is "long non-coding RNA (MACU_LNC003865)". Lineage: Eukaryota; Viridiplantae; Streptophyta; Magnoliopsida; Zingiberales; Musaceae. The record is from RNAcentral.
UGCUUGAUUCUGGUGACGGUGUCAGCCAUACCGUUCCUAUCUAUGAAGGAUAUGCUCUACCUCAUGCCAUUCUUCGUUUGGAUCUUGCUGGUCGUGAUCUCACGGAUUGCCUGAUGAAGAUCCUGACAGAGAGGGGUUAUUCAUUCACUACCACUGCAGAACGGGAAAUCGUAAGGGACAUCAAGGAGAAGCUUGCCUUUGUUGCUGUUGACUAUGAACAGGAGCUGGAGACUGCCAAGACUAGCUCUGCUGUGGAGAAAAGCUAUGAACUUCCCGAUGGGCAGGUUAUCACGAUUGGGG